RNAcentral lists this ribosomal RNA (305 nucleotides) under uncultured bacterium. Its description in RNAcentral is "bacterial SSU rRNA". It matches the Rfam family "Bacterial small subunit ribosomal RNA", at positions 338 to 641 of the family's 1533-position model. The record is from RNAcentral.
CCUACGGGGGGCAGCAGUGAGGAAUAUUGGUCAAUGGGCGCGAGCCUGAACCAGCCAAGUCGCGUGAGGGAAGACGGUCCUAUGGAUUGUAAACCUCUUUUGUCGGGGAGCAAAAGACGCCACGCGUGGCGUUCCGAGAGUACCCGAAGAAAAAGCAUCGGCUAACUCCGUGCCAGCAGCCGCGGUAAUACGGAGGAUGCGAGCGUUAUCCGGAUUUAUUGGGUUUAAAGGGUGCGCAGGCGGAAGAUCAAGUCAGCGGUAAAAUUGAGAGGCUCAACCUCUUCGAGCCGUUGAAACUGGUUUUU